This 206-nucleotide ribosomal RNA is filed under the name uncultured bacterium. Its description in RNAcentral is "partial 16S ribosomal RNA". It matches the Rfam family "Bacterial small subunit ribosomal RNA", at positions 569 to 774 of the family's 1533-position model. The record is from RNAcentral.
GUGUAGGCGGCUUGGCAAGUGUUGUGUGAAAUCCCCCGGCUCAACCGGGGAACUGCAUGGCAAACUGCCUGGCUUGAGGUCGGUAGGGGUGCCUGGAACUCUAGGUGGAGCGGUGAAAUGCGUAGAUAUCUAGAGGAACGCCAGAGGCGAAAGCGGGGCACUGGGCCGAUUCUGACGCUGAGACCCGAAAGCGUGGGGAGCAAACA